AGCUCCAAUAGCGUAUAUUAAAGUUGUUGCGGUUAAAAAGCUCGUAGUUGGAUUUCUGUUGAGGACGACCGGCCCGCCCUCUGGGUGAGUAUCUGGCUCGGCCUUGGCAUCUUCUUGGAGAACGUAGCUGCACUUGACUGUGUGGUGCGGUAUCCAGGACUUUUACUUUGAGGAAAUUAGAGUGUUUCAAGCAGGCGUACGCCUUGAAUACAUUAGCAUAGAAUAAUGAGAUAGGACCUUGGUUCUAUUUUGUUGGUUUCUAGAGCUGAGGUAAUGAUUAAUAAGGAUAGUUUGGGGCAUUCGUAUUUAAUUGUCAGAGGUGGAAUUCUUGGAUUUAUUAAAGACGGACUACUGCGAAAGCAUUUGCCAAGGAUGUUUCCA
Molecule: ribosomal RNA, 381 nt
Filed under: uncultured eukaryote
Lineage: Eukaryota
Description: SSU rRNA
Rfam family: Eukaryotic small subunit ribosomal RNA
Source: RNAcentral